GAUGAACGCUAGCGGGAGGCCUAACACAUGCAAGCCGAGCGGUAGAGAUUCUUCGGAAUCUUGAGAGCGGCGUACGGGUGCGGAACACGUGUGCAACCUGCCUUUAUCAGGGGGAUAGCCUUUCGAAAGGAAGAUUAAUACCCCAUAAUAUAUUUGAUGGCAUCAUUAGAUAUUGAAAGCUUUGGCGGAUAGAGAUGGGCACGCGCAAGAUUAGAUAGUUGGUGAGGUAACGGCUCACCAAGUCGAUGAUCUUUAGGGGGCCUGAGAGGGUGAUCCCCCACACUGGUACUGAGACACGGACCAGACUCCUACGGGAGGCAGCAGUGAGGAAUAUUGGACAAUGGGUUAGCGCCUGAUCCAGCCAUCCCGCGUGAAGGACGACGGCCCUAUGGGUUGUAAACUUCUUUUGUACAGGGAUAAACCUACUCUCGUGAGAGUAGCUGAAGGUACUGUACGAAUAAGCACCGGCUAACUACGUG
This 479-nucleotide ribosomal RNA is filed under the name uncultured bacterium. RNAcentral's name for it is "partial 16S ribosomal RNA". It matches the Rfam family "Bacterial small subunit ribosomal RNA", at positions 28 to 507 of the family's 1533-position model. The record is from RNAcentral.